Molecule: ribosomal RNA, 486 nt
Filed under: uncultured bacterium
Lineage: Bacteria
Description: partial 16S ribosomal RNA
Rfam family: Bacterial small subunit ribosomal RNA
Source: RNAcentral
AUUGAACGCUGGCGGCAUGCUUUACACAUGCAAGUCGAGCGGCAGCGCGGGGGCAACCCUGGCGGCGAGCGGCGAACGGGUGAGUAAUGCAUCGGAACGUAUCCUCGAGUGGGGGAUAACCCAGCGAAAGUUGGGCCAAUACCGCAUGAGCUCUGAGGAGGAAAGCGGGGGACCUGCGAGGGCCUCGCGCUGGAGGAGCGGCCGAUGUCCGAUUAGCUAGUUGGUGGGGUAAAGGCUUACCAAGGCGACGAUCGGUAGCUGGUCUGAGAGGAUGAUCAGCCACACUGGGACUUAGACACGGCCCAGACUCCUACGGGAGGCAGCAGUGGGGAAUUUUGGACAAUGGGGGCAACCCUGAUCCAGCCAUGCCGCGUGAGUGAAGAAGGCCUUCGGGUUGUAAAGCUCUUUCGGACGGAACGAAAUGGGCGGGACUAAUACUCCUGUCUGAUGACGGUACCGUAAGAAGAAGCACCGGCUAACUACGUG